Molecule: ribosomal RNA, 468 nt
Filed under: uncultured bacterium
Lineage: Bacteria
Description: partial 16S ribosomal RNA
Rfam family: Bacterial small subunit ribosomal RNA
Source: RNAcentral
GACGAACGCUGGCGGCGUGCUUAACGCAUGCAAGUCGAACGGAAAGGCCCCGUCCUUGUGGGGUGCUCUAGUGGCGAACGGAAGAGUAACAUGUCACUAACCUACCCUUCACUCUGCGAUAACAUCACGACACUGGGGCGUAUCCAGGAUAGGAGCUCCUGCUGCUUUGUCGUGGUUGGUCAGUGUCGGCGGUUGGGGAUGGACUCGAUGCUCAUCAGCCUGUUGGUCGGGUAGUGGCUUACCAAGGCUUUGACGGGUGGCCGGCCUGAGCGGGUGACCGGCCACGUUGGGACUGAGAUACGAGCCAGACGCCUGCGGGAGGCAGCAGUGGGGGAUAGUGCGCAAUGGGCGGAAGCCGGAUGCGGCAGCGCCGCGUGGGGGAUGAAGGCCUUCGGGUUGUGAACCGCUUUCGCCUGGGAUGAGGCGUGAGUGACGGUAAUGGGUAAAGAAGCACCGGCUAACUACGUG